This 793-nucleotide small RNA is filed under the name Arabidopsis thaliana (thale cress). Its description in RNAcentral is "ATSL205860". The record is from RNAcentral. Lineage: Eukaryota; Viridiplantae; Streptophyta; Magnoliopsida; Brassicales; Brassicaceae.
GAUUAAUUUUUCCAUUCCUGACAUCUAUGACUGCUCCAGCUGAAGCUAAGAAUGGUCUGCCUAGGAUCAGGGGAUCCUUGCCUUCUUCAUCUACGUCCAAUACCACAAUGUCUGUACGUAUCUCAACAUUUCCAAUCUUGACAGGCAUAUUUUCUAUUAGACCAUGAGGAUGUGCAACAGAACCGUCAGCUAAGAGUAAGGCUAAGUUGCAGAACUUGAAUUCCAUGAUCCCUAGCCUUUUAGCUGUAGAGAGAGGCAUAAGGCUAACAGAUGCUCCCAGAUCACAAAGGCACCUAUUGAAUGUCAAUGGUCCUAGAGAGCAUGAAAGCUGGGAUCAUCAAGCUUUUCUUGGAUGACUUUCUUCUUGUAUGUUUCUUGAGUGGAGGCACUGCUAAUCAUCUCUUGAUUCUGCUCUUUCUUGAGCUUUUUUCGAGAAUGGUGAGUGUUCAGCAAAGGUGUGUGCUCUAUAGUCCAGAUGAAUUGCUGGGUGGCAGGUGCAGCAAUUUGAGUUGAAUCCCCCCCUUCAUGAAUCAUAUUGUCCUCAGUAUUGAGUGUUUGAUGACUUGGUGGAGACUCAUCUUCUUGGUGGAUGGUGAUAGCAUUAGCAGUAGCAUAGUCCUUAGGGUUCUGGACUGCUUUCCCUGGAAGUUGUUGAGGAUUCUUCGGAGCAGAGGUUGAGGCAAAUUGACUCUCCACAUACUUGAUAUUUGAGUUCAGAGCUUCAAACUUGACAUUCAGAUCGUUGUAUGAACAAUCGAUCUUGUUGUGUAAUUCAGCUAUCUUCUUUUCAAAA